UUGCCAUCCCCCUCAUCUGCGAGGGUGCCGUCAUCUUGGCCAAUGAUGCCUUUGCUAACAUGGUGGGAGGAGGAAGUAGAGAGAGACGGAGAGUGGGCAAUGAGUGUUGCCGGUCAUGGAAAAAGGCGAGAGUGGGUGUUGACAUAUGACUGGCCAUGAAAAAAAGGUGGAGCCGGAAGUGACUAGUCACCUACCAUGCAGAGAAGGAAGAAGUAGAUGGUGAUUGCUUGCCUACUGUAGAGAGAGGAGGAGCAGUUGGUAAUUGAUUGCCAACCAUAAAGAGAGAAGAGUGGAUGGUGAUUAGUCACUACCCAUGGAAAAUGAGGGGUGGUAGGAGAUGACUGGUCAUUGGCCUCGAAGAGAAGGAUGACCAGGUAGUGAGUAGAUGUCCACCAUGGAGGGAGGGGGAAGCAAGCUUGGAUAGAGGUGAGAGUAAGGAAUGAAAGGAGAGAGAUGGAAAGAGGAGGGUGUAGGAAGAGAGAAAGAGGAGAGAGAUUCAUGAAAAUCAAUGCUAUCCAUAUUAAGGGCCCAUUCU
Molecule: long non-coding RNA, 535 nt
Filed under: Elaeis guineensis (African oil palm)
Lineage: Eukaryota; Viridiplantae; Streptophyta; Magnoliopsida; Arecales; Arecaceae
Description: long non-coding RNA (EGUI_LNC058704)
Source: RNAcentral